CUUCAAAAUCCUAACACAAUAGGCCACAAUAGGAAAAUGAAGUGCCAGAAAUGCCAAAUAAUUGCAGUCCCAAAUGGACAUUUUGUAACAAAAGAAAUAACUCAAGGACUCGGCCGCCAUUCUUUUGUAGUCUUUCUGGAUUCUUUGUGUGGGAGUGCGUGGGGGUGCUGUGUGUGUCUGCGGGUAAAUUGAAAGUGCAAAUAUUAACAUUCAAGACGAUGUGCCAGGCACACUUGUGGCUUUUCUGCCGUCAUGUCCUUGCUGCCACUCAAUCAGCAGGACGCUGGAUCCGAGACCAUGAAUGAUGCGAGCCGAGGCCAGGACAACAGCUGCUGACAAGGACACGCCACCCACACAUGAGAAUUAGUUGUGCCAGGACAUGCCUUUCAGGGCAAAACUUUAAUUAAAUUGUAUAUGUUUUUUGGCAUGCAGUAGAAAAUUCCA
Molecule: small RNA, 444 nt
Filed under: Drosophila ananassae
Lineage: Eukaryota; Metazoa; Arthropoda; Insecta; Diptera; Drosophilidae
Description: GF27479
Source: RNAcentral